RNAcentral lists this ribosomal RNA (498 nucleotides) under Salmonella enterica. RNAcentral describes it as "bacterial SSU rRNA". It matches the Rfam family "Bacterial small subunit ribosomal RNA", at positions 1045 to 1533 of the family's 1533-position model. Lineage: Bacteria; Pseudomonadati; Pseudomonadota; Gammaproteobacteria; Enterobacterales; Enterobacteriaceae. The record is from RNAcentral.
AUGGCUGUCGUCAGCUCGUGUUGUGAAAUGUUGGGUUAAGUCCCGCAACGAGCGCAACCCUUAUCCUUUGUUGCCAGCGAUUAGGUCGGGAACUCAAAGGAGACUGCCAGUGAUAAACUGGAGGAAGGUGGGGAUGACGUCAAGUCAUCAUGGCCCUUACGACCAGGGCUACACACGUGCUACAAUGGCGCAUACAAAGAGAAGCGACCUCGCGAGAGCAAGCGGACCUCAUAAAGUGCGUCGUAGUCCGGAUUGGAGUCUGCAACUCGACUCCAUGAAGUCGGAAUCGCUAGUAAUCGUGGAUCAGAAUGCCACGGUGAAUACGUUCCCGGGCCUUGUACACACCGCCCGUCACACCAUGGGAGUGGGUUGCAAAAGAAGUAGGUAGCUUAACCUUCGGGAGGGCGCUUACCACUUUGUGAUUCAUGACUGGGGUGAAGUCGUAACAAGGUAACCGUAGGGGAACCUGCGGUUGGAUCACCUCCUUACCUGAAAGAA